This 279-nucleotide ribosomal RNA is filed under the name uncultured bacterium. RNAcentral describes it as "partial 16S ribosomal RNA". It matches the Rfam family "Bacterial small subunit ribosomal RNA", at positions 506 to 784 of the family's 1533-position model. The record is from RNAcentral.
UGCCAGCCGCCGCGGUAAUACGGAGGGGGUUAGCGUUGUUCGGAAUUACUGGGCGUAAAGCGCGCGUAGGCGGAUUGGAAAGUUGGGGGUGAAAUCCCAAGGCUUAACCUUGGAACUGCCAUCAAAACUUUUUAGCUAGAGUGUGAUAGAGGUAAGUGGAAUUUCUAGUGUAGAGGUGAAAUUCGUAGAUAUUAGAAAGAACACCAAAUGCGAAGGCAACUUACUGGGUCACCACUGACACUGAGGAGCGAAAGCAUGGGUAGCGAAGAGGAUUAGAUA